UAAGGAAUCUUUCGCAAUGGGGGAAACCCCGACGAAGCGACAUCGCGUGAUUGAUGAAGGCCGUAAGGUCGUAAAGAUCUUUUCUGAGGGAAUAAUUCUGAAGGUACCUCAGGAAUAAGCACCGGCUAACUCCGUGCCAGCAGCCGCGGUAAUACGGAGGGUGCAAGCGUUAUCCGGAAUCAUUGGGCGUAAAGCGUCCGCAGGUUGUUUGUUAAGUUGGAUAUUAAAUCUUGAAGCCCAACUUCAAGGCUGUGUCCAAAACUGGCAAGCUAGAACAUCUCAGAGGUACAUGGAAUUCUGUGUGUAGGGGUGAAAUCCGUAGAUACACAGAGGAACACCAAAAGCGAAGGCAAUGUACUGGGAGAUUGUUGACACUCAUGGACGAAAGCGUGGGGAGCGAACGGG
Molecule: ribosomal RNA, 405 nt
Filed under: uncultured bacterium
Lineage: Bacteria
Description: bacterial SSU rRNA
Rfam family: Bacterial small subunit ribosomal RNA
Source: RNAcentral